UCUCCAAUUAUUUCUUUCUCUCUGCGAUCAGAGAUUAGGGUUCUAGGCCGUUGCUCGUCUCUUCGUUCUUUUCACCUGAUCUGGUAUGCAUGUCUGAUGAUAAAUUUCAUAUAUUGUUUAUGGAUUUCGGAUUUUUCUGUAGUAAUGUUCGUGUAAUCUUUCUUUGCCAUUUCUUUGAUUCAAGAAUUCUAUUAGAAUAUCGAAAACUGCAAUGCAUGUUAAAUUUUCUGCGCGCAUUGGGUUUCUUUUGCCCCCAAUGUUUAUUUAAAAAACCGUUUAAAAUUGAUGAAAAAAGGUUUGUUUUCUACGUUCUUUUCCAUCCGAGUCUCGAAACAAGACCCGGUUUCAGAAGGUAAUUAUGGAUGAUUAUAUUUGGAAUAUGUGAUUGAUGUGAUCAUGGCGUUCCGUUAAAUAUUUCCGCAAUUUGAGCCAUUUUAUCUGAGGGAAUUCUUUUUCUAUUAUUUAUCUGCAGUUAUAUCUGCAUUUGGUUUUUCUUUGGAUUAUCUAUGUUUUGAUCUCAUAGGUUAUUCGUGGAGAGUGGUAGAGGUAAAUAGGUCACCUGGAGAAGUAAUUCCUAUGGAAUCUCAUGAAAAUGUCAGAGAAUAGACCUACUCCCUCGUUUUUAUAAAUUGACAUUCCUGAAACUAGUUUCCAUCUGUAUUUAUGUCGCAUUUGGAGCCACUGACUCAAUUUCAUGAAUAAUCGCCAAUAAUUAUAUAGUUAUUUCUUAUGGGACGAGUCAAUAGGUCUGCAGGCGAAACAAUAGAUACCUGGGUUUAGUGUCCUUUUUUCCCCAAUAUUGAGUGUCCUCUUCAAAGAGAAUUUUAUGAAAUAAAUUUUUAGUGAUAAGGGCUAACCACACUUUAUGUUAUGAAGUUUAGUAGUAAAUUACACUUUAUGUUGUGACCUCUAUCAGUAAAUUGCACUUUAUGUGGAAUAUAACUCUAUGUAGUUAAAGCAUAAACUAGUGGGUUUACAGACACCAACAUAACCAGCACCAUUUAGUUCCACUUGCAAUAUUAUUUGCAUCAAGUUUGCCACCUACCCAAAAGGCCACCUACCCAAGAUGCCACAUAGCCUCAAUAAGCAGCAUGGACAAUUAUUUUCUUUUUUCUUUAUAAAUCAUAUUGAAUAUUUUGAUCUGAUUUAUAUUGAUUCCAUCAUGUGCUGACUGUAGCAGUUAACUUAAUGGAAAUAUCAAGCGGUUAAUGAUUUCAAUUUUGUCCAGGUUGGCUGGGUCAUGAUGUUUGAUGAUGGAAUUGAUAAAGAAGAGAAGGUGCCUUUCCUUGAUCACGGAUUUUUCGGAUGCAAAUGGUUCUUUUGUAAGCCAUACGAACAGUCCAAAUUGGUUAAUAUUUAGGGCAAAUUAGAUAUUCAUGAUGAAUUCUACAUGUUAUUUAUUGGGCUCCUCGUACAACAUGGUAAAAAAAAUAUGGUUUGCAAUCAAUAACAUUUAUAUUCUCUCAUGUCCUUUUUGCAACAAACUUUGAUCGGUUGGUGACUUCUACUUAUUACCUUGCCAUGUUUACACACAAAUCCAGCAACCUGUUUAUAUUAUUUCUGCUUUAG
Molecule: long non-coding RNA, 1569 nt
Filed under: Phoenix dactylifera (date palm)
Lineage: Eukaryota; Viridiplantae; Streptophyta; Magnoliopsida; Arecales; Arecaceae
Description: long non-coding RNA (PDAC_LNC001228)
Source: RNAcentral